This 253-nucleotide ribosomal RNA is filed under the name uncultured bacterium. Its description in RNAcentral is "partial 16S ribosomal RNA". It matches the Rfam family "Bacterial small subunit ribosomal RNA", at positions 524 to 776 of the family's 1533-position model. The record is from RNAcentral.
UACGUAGGGACCAAGCGUUGUUCGGAUUUACUGGGCGUAAAGGGCGCGUAGGCGGCAUGACAAGUCACUUGUGAAAUCUCCGGGCUUAACUCGGAACGGUCAAGUGAUACUGUUGUGCUAGAGUGCGGAAGGGGCAACUGGAAUUCUCGGUGUAGCGGUGAAAUGCGUAGAUAUCGAGAGGAACACCUGCGGCGAAGGCGGGUUGCUGGGCCGACACUGACGCUGAUGCGCGAAGGCCAGGGGAGCGAACGGG